UUGUUUUUUCAUUCUUUAAGUCAUGUUGCUGACAGCUGUUUCUUUUGAUUUAUGUUUUGGUUUCCCCAUGGUUCAUGUGGGUAUCUUCUUUUUUUUUCAAUCAGUUUUCUAGUGGCUCUCUUUUUCUUCAGUAUUGAUUUUACAAUCACUAAAUACAUUUUGAAUAACUUUUUUUAUUCAAUAGCUUUAAAUUAACCAUACAAAUAUACAAUUCAUACAAGAAAGAAAUAUUUUAAAAUUGUCAACAUUCAUAAACAUGAUAAAACAAUCGAACAGGAAAAUCAGAAAAUGUGAUUGAUAAUACAUAUUUGUAUUUUAAAUUCUCAAUGGCAGAUCCAGGGGGAGUGUUCCGGGGGUUGGAUACCCCCUUUUUUUGUCCUGGGAUGGGACCCCCCCUUUUUAAAAUGGCUGGAUCCGCCCCUGAUUCUGUAACAUUUGUAUUACUUUAGUCAAAUUUCCUUUUCAUUGAUCUUUUUUUUAUUUUUCUUUACUUUUAAAAAAAAAAUUCAAGUGGGUAUCACAGCUUGAUAGAUUUAAAUUUUUUUUUAAAUCUAACAAAAGUUAAUACCAGUGACUCCUGUUUUGUAAAUACAGUUUAAGUUUAAC
Molecule: long non-coding RNA, 606 nt
Filed under: Mytilus galloprovincialis (Mediterranean mussel)
Lineage: Eukaryota; Metazoa; Mollusca; Bivalvia; Mytilida; Mytilidae
Source: RNAcentral